This 463-nucleotide ribosomal RNA is filed under the name Microgovia sp. MCZ-53208. Its description in RNAcentral is "partial 16S ribosomal RNA". It matches the Rfam family "Bacterial large subunit ribosomal RNA", at positions 1830 to 2600 of the family's 2925-position model. The record is from RNAcentral. Lineage: Eukaryota; Metazoa; Arthropoda; Arachnida; Opiliones; Neogoveidae.
UCUUUAAGAAUAGAGCUUAAAGUAUCACCUGCUCAAUGAUUUAAUUAAUUAAAUAGCUGCAGGAGACUGUACUAAGGUAGCAUAAUUAUUUGGCCUUUAAUUAAGGUCUAGUAUGAAGGGUGGCAUGAGGAAAGAUCUUUCUUAGCCUUAACCUAUAAACUUAGAUUUUAGGUUAAAAUACCUAAAUAACCUUUAGGGACGAGAAGACCCUAUGAAGCUUUUUAAGAAGAAGAUAAGUAGCUAUCCUUUUCUUAUUUUAGUUGGGGCAACAAGAUAAGAAAAGAAGCUUAUUUUUUGAUCCAAGAUUCUUGAUCAUGAGAACAAGUUACUCUAGGGAUAACAGCAUAAUAAAAUAAAUUAAGCCCAAAUUAAUUUGUCUGAUUAUGACCUCGAUGUUGGAUUAAUGUUUCAGUUAGGGGUAGCUCCUUAACCUGAGGGUCUGUUCGACCUUUAAACCAUUACA